UGCGUGUCCUCAGGCUCUCAGUGUCUCCUCUCUUUGUUGGAUCUUUGUGGAUUAUUAAGUUUUCAACUCUUCUGGUGGACGGUUUGGAUCUUCUGGUGGACGGUUUGGAUCAUUUUGUGGACGUUGAAGGCAGAAAGCCCGAGCAGGACCAGAGUGUUUCCUGAAUGUCUACCGUGAGCAGGAGGGCAGAAGGCUUUUCAGCAUGUCCCCCAGCAGCGUUCCUUCAGUGGCGUUCCUUCAGUGGCGUUCCUUCAGCGGCGUUCCUUCAGUGGCGUUCCUUCAGUGGCAUUCCUUCA
This is a long non-coding RNA of Notolabrus celidotus (New Zealand spotty), 296 nucleotides long. RefSeq lists it as uncharacterized. The record is from RefSeq and is a predicted model, not a curated record. Lineage: Eukaryota; Metazoa; Chordata; Actinopteri; Labriformes; Labridae. The transcript has 3 exons.